GACGAACGCUGGCGGCGUGCUUAACACAUGCAAGUCGAACGAGAGGCGAACGGGUGAGUAAUACGUGGGUAAACUGCCCUCUAUUUGGGCUAAGCCUUGGAAACGGGGGCUAAUUCCGUACAACGGGGGAGUGGAUCGGGGCCUCUCCGCUUGUUGGGGGGGUGAUGGGCUACCAAGGUGGUGACGGGUAGACGGCCUGAGAGGGUGACCGGGCACAGUGGGACUGGGAUACGGCCCAUGAUCGGACGGGAGGCAGCAGUGUGUGAUAUUGGACAAGGGGCGAAAGACUGAUGCAGCGACGCCGCGUGGGGGAUGAAGGCUGUCGGGUUGUAAACCUGUUUCGCGAUCGAACGGGUAGUUGGAGAAGAAGCGCCGGCUAACUACGUGCCAGCAGCCGCGGUAAUUC
This 406-nucleotide ribosomal RNA is filed under the name uncultured bacterium. Its description in RNAcentral is "partial 16S ribosomal RNA". It matches the Rfam family "Bacterial small subunit ribosomal RNA", at positions 28 to 526 of the family's 1533-position model. The record is from RNAcentral.